Molecule: long non-coding RNA, 1564 nt
Filed under: Setaria italica (foxtail millet)
Lineage: Eukaryota; Viridiplantae; Streptophyta; Magnoliopsida; Poales; Poaceae
Description: long non-coding RNA (SITA_LNC006364)
Source: RNAcentral
CACCGCCGGCCCCUGAACCCGGAAACACAUAUACCAACUCACAUAUGACGAAGGAGGUGCAGCGCGGCGGCCGAGAAACGGAUGCGCGUCGCCGAUUGGGGCGGGGGCGGAGCUGUUGUGGGGGAUCGACGGCAGCACGGCGGGUAGGUGGGUCGACGGCCGUGGGGUCGCGCGGCGGCUAGGGUUCAGUCGGCGAAGGGAAGACGAAGGAGGCGAUGCGCGUCGACGGAACAACGGCGGCGAGAGGCUGCUUUGGGGACGGCGGCGUGCGGUGGGGGUCGACGAGAGCAGGGGGCGUAGGGGGUGGAGCGCUGGCCGUUGCCUGCAGCCGAACGCGUGGGCUUUUUGGGCCGCUGUCCUGCUCGCUUAAGAUUUUUCAGCGGCGGCGGCUGCAGCUGUACCGACACCCAGCCGUUCGGUUGCAGCCCAAGCCCACUCGUUGGCUAUAAGCUGUAACUAUCCUUUUACUUGGCCAGAGAGGCACCGCAGUGAGGAUGUACAGUACAAAUGCAUAAAGUAUAAACCUCACGCCCCGAACAGGGUAGUAUACAUUAAAAGUACAAAUGCAUAAGCUUUUUAAAAAAAAGUACAAAUGCAUAAAGCAUAAACCUCACGCCCCGAAUAGGGUAGUAUACAUUAAAAGUACGUGAAAACACAACAGCGUCUGCAAUACUGCAACUAGCUAUUGUUAUUUCAAGAUGACAAAUCCUCCAAGCCCAGCCACAAGAACAAUGGGUAAAAUUGAGAUCCAAAGAAUCGUCAUCCCGAUAGCGCCUCGCCGGGUCAGGUCGCCUGAGACGUAGAAGCCAACUGACGCCUCAACGAAUCCAAAGAUAAUUACGGCGACGAGAAUGCCGUAGUACAGGUAGAAGGGCGCCUUUCCAUGACUGAAAAUACCUGCCGGCGACCUGAAGACGACGAGCGCGAGCGCCGCUGCAGCUUGAACGAUUCCGCUCGUGAUGAGUGCGGCCGGCAGCUUGCCCGCGUUGCGGCAGGCCUCCGGGAUCAAGCACGCGAUCUUGAUCAUUAGAGUCGUGAACUCCAUCUGUGAUAAGUCGAAGAAGGGAAGAACUGGUCGUUCGAAAAUAUAUAGGCGGCGGAUUAUGUCUGCUGCACUCGUUUUCGGUUUUCCCCAACGAAAACGAGUGCAUUCGGUAGCUUCGCGUGUUGUUUCCGUGGGCUAACCCCAUCUUUGGCCAUCUUUGCGGCGAGUCGUGUACUCGUUAACGCAGGCGAGCUUUCGGUCGGUCGGGGAAGGGAAGACGGAAGGAGGUGCGGCGUGGCGGCCGAGAAACGGAUGCGCGUCGCCGAUUGGGGCGGGGGCGGAGCUGUUGUGGGGGAUCGACGGCAGCACGGCGGGUAGGUGGGUCGACGGCCGUGGGGUCGCGCGGCGGCUAGGGUUCAGUCGGCGAAGGGAAGACGAAGGAGGCGAUGCGCGUCGACGGAACAACGGCGGCGAGAGGCUGCUUUGGGGACGGCGGCGUGCGGUGGGGGUCGACGAGAGCAGGGGGCGUAGGGGGUGGAGCGCUGGCCGUUGCCUGCAGCCGAACGCGUGGGCUUUUUG